GCGGGGGUGGCUGAGCUAGGCCAAAAGCGGCGGACUUAAGAUCCGCUCCCGUAGGGGUUCGCGAGUUCAAAUCUCGUCCCCCGCA
Molecule: transfer RNA, 85 nt
Filed under: Haloferax gibbonsii
Lineage: Archaea; Methanobacteriati; Methanobacteriota; Halobacteria; Halobacteriales; Haloferacaceae
Also listed under: 14 other names
Description: tRNA-Leu
Rfam family: tRNA
About the family: Transfer RNA (tRNA) molecules are approximately 80 nucleotides in length. Their secondary structure includes four short double-helical elements and three loops (D, anti-codon, and T loops). Further hydrogen bonds mediate the characteristic L-shaped molecular structure. tRNAs have two regions of fundamental functional importance: the anti-codon, which is responsible for specific mRNA codon recognition, and the 3' end, to which the tRNAs corresponding amino acid is attached (by aminoacyl-tRNA synthetases). tRNAs cope with the degeneracy of the genetic code in two manners: having more than one tRNA (with a specific anti-codon) for a particular amino acid; and 'wobble' base-pairing, i.e. permitting non-standard base-pairing at the 3rd anti-codon position.
Source: RNAcentral